RNAcentral lists this ribosomal RNA (158 nucleotides) under Hypocrella discoidea. Its description in RNAcentral is "5.8S ribosomal RNA". It matches the Rfam family "5.8S ribosomal RNA". From Rfam's summary of the family: 5.8S ribosomal RNA (5.8S rRNA) is a component of the large subunit of the eukaryotic ribosome. It is transcribed by RNA polymerase I as part of the 45S precursor that also contains 18S and 28S rRNA. Lineage: Eukaryota; Fungi; Ascomycota; Sordariomycetes; Hypocreales; Clavicipitaceae. RNAcentral also lists the same sequence under 7 other names. The record is from RNAcentral.
AAACUUUCAACAACGGAUCUCUUGGCUCUGGCAUCGAUGAAGAACGCAGCGAAAUGCGAUAAGUAAUGUGAAUUGCAGAAUUCAGUGAAUCAUCGAAUCUUUGAACGCACAUUGCGCCCGCCAGCACUCUGGCGGGCAUGCCUGUUCGAGCGUCAUUU